This 497-nucleotide ribosomal RNA is filed under the name uncultured bacterium. Its description in RNAcentral is "partial 16S ribosomal RNA". It matches the Rfam family "Bacterial small subunit ribosomal RNA", at positions 28 to 507 of the family's 1533-position model. The record is from RNAcentral.
GAUGAACGCUGGCGGCGUGCCUAAUACGUGCAAGUCGAGCGAACAGACGAGGAGCUUGCUCCUCUGACGUUAGCGGCGGACGGGUGAGUAACACGUGGAUAACCUACCUAUAAGACUGGGAUAACUUCGGGAAACCGGAGCUAAUACCGGAUAACAUGUUGAACCGCAUGGUUCAACAGUGAAAGACGGUCUUGCUGUCACUUAUAGAUGGAUCCGCGCCGCAUUAGCUAGUUGGUAAGGUAACGGCUUACCAAGGCAACGAUGCGUAGCCGACCUGAGAGGGUGAUCGGCCACACUGGAACUGAGACACGGUCCAGACUCCUACGGGAGGCAGCAGUAGGGAAUCUUCCGCAAUGGGCGAAAGCCUGACGGAGCAACGCCGCGUGAGUGAAGAAGGUCUUCGGAUCGUAAAACUCUGUUAUUAGGGAAGAACAAAUGUGUAAGUAACUAUGCACGUCUUGACGGUACCUAAUCAGAAAGCCACGGCUAACUACGUG